Molecule: non-coding RNA, 78 nt
Organism: Morchella snyderi
Lineage: Eukaryota; Fungi; Ascomycota; Pezizomycetes; Pezizales; Morchellaceae
Source: the annotation of a GenBank genome assembly
GGUUACACGGCCCAAUGGCAAGGCGCUUGACUACAUGUAUGAAUCAAGAAAUUCCAGGUUCGACCCCUGGUGUGAUCA